RNAcentral lists this ribosomal RNA (306 nucleotides) under uncultured bacterium. Its description in RNAcentral is "partial 16S ribosomal RNA". It matches the Rfam family "Bacterial small subunit ribosomal RNA", at positions 507 to 807 of the family's 1533-position model. The record is from RNAcentral.
GACAGCAGCAGCCACGGUAAUACAGAGGGUGCAAGCGUUAAUCGGAAUUACUGGGCGUAAAGCGCGCGUAGGUGGUUUGUUAAGUUGGAUGUGAAAUCCCCGGGCUCAACCUGGAAACCGCAUUCAAAACUGACUGACUAGAGUAUGGUAGAGGGUGGUGGAAUUUCCUGUGUAGCGGUGAAGUGCGUAGAUAUAGGAAGGAACACCAGUGGCGAAGGCGACCACCUGGACUGAUACUGACACUGAGGUGCGAAAGCGUGGGGAGCAAACAGGAUUAGAUACCCGUGUAGUCCCUGUCUCUUAUAC